Balaenoptera musculus (blue whale) is the source of this 3292-nucleotide RNA transcript. It is a transcript of the gene named F-box and leucine rich repeat protein 18, with no coding region annotated. The record is from RefSeq and is a predicted model, not a curated record. The transcript is spliced from 6 exons. NCBI's taxonomy places the organism in Eukaryota, Metazoa, Chordata, Mammalia, Artiodactyla, Balaenopteridae.
UCCUGCACAUCCUGAGCCACGUCCCCAGCAUAGACUUGAUUCUGAACGUCCGGCGCACCUGCCGGAAGCUCGCAGCGCUGUGCCUGGACAAGAGCCUCACCCACACGGUGCUGCUGCAGAAGGACUAUGAGGUUCACUCAUGCCGUGGCAGCGUCAGGAUCUCAUUCCUCUCCAUGCCGAGUAGAAGUCCACUGCAUGGAUGGACCCCACUGCCUUCAUCUGUUCGUCCGCUGAUGGACGGCUGGGUUGUUGCCACCUUCCGGUUGUUGUGAACGGUUCUCCGUGGACAUGGGUGUGCAGGAGUCUGAGUCCCCGCUUUCAGUCCCCUUGGGUGCACACCUGGCUGUGGAACUGUGGGUCACGUGGUAACUGUUUAGCUUUUGGAGGAGCCACCAGACUUUUCCACAGGGGCUGCCCCAUCUUCCAUUCCCGCCUGGCCGAGACUCCUGACUGUCGGUGGAAGGCCAGCGAGGACAAGGUGAAGCGGCUGGUGACGGAGAUCGGCCGGGAGGUCCAGCAGCUCAGCAUGGCCGGCUGCUACUGGCUGUCGGGCAGCACGGUGGAGCACGUGGCCCGCUGCCGCGGCCUGGUGAAGGUGAACCUCUCGGGCUGCCACCUGACCUCCCUGCGCCUCUCCAAGGUUCUGUCGGCCCUGCAGCGCCUGCGCUCCCUGGCCAUCGACGUGAGCCCCGGCUUCGACGCGAGCCAGCUGAGCGGCGAGUGCAAGGCCACGCUGAGCCGCGUGCGGGAGCUCAAGCAGACGCUGUACACGCCCUCGUACGGCGUGGUGCCCUGCUGCACCAGCCUCGAGAAGCUGCUGCUGUACUUCGAGAUCCUGGACCGCACGCGCGAGGGCGCCGUGCUCUCGGGCCAGCUCAUGGUGGGCCAGAGCAACGUGCCGCGCUACCAGCACCUGCGCGUCUUCUACGCCCGCCUGGCCCCCGGCUACAUCAACCAGGAGGUGGUGCGCCUGUACCUGGCCGUGCUCAGCGACCGCACGCCCGAGAACCUGCACGCCUUCCUCAUCUCCGUGCCCGGCAGCUUUGCCGAGAGCGGGGCCACCAAGAACCUCCUGGAGUCCAUGGCCCGCAACGUGGCGCUGGACGCGCUGCAGCUGCCCAAGUCCUGGCUCAACGGCUCGGCCCUCCUCCAGCACAUGAAGUUCAGCAGCCCCUUCUACUUCAGCUUCAGCCGCUGUGCCCUGUCCGGCGGCCACCUGGUCCGGCGCGUCAUCGACGGCGGCAGGGACCUCCGGAGCCUGGCCGGCCUGAACCUCAGCGGCUGUGCGCACUGCCUGGCGCCCGACUCCCUGCUGCGCAAGGCGGAGGACGACAUCGACAGUGGCAUCCUGGAGACGCUGGUGGCGGCCUGUGGCAACCUGCGGCACCUCAACCUCUCGGCUGCCCACCACCACAGCCCCGAGGGCCCCGGCCGGCACCUGUGCCAGCUGCUGGCCCGGCUCUGCCACCUGCGCUCCCUGUCGCUGCCCGUCUGCGCCGUCGCUGACUCGGCGCCACGGGCCGACCGUGCGCCCGUCCAGCCUGCCACGCACGCCGUGCCCCGCGGCUUCGGCAAGAAGGUCCGUAUCGGCGUGCCGUCUGGCCCUGACCCUUUCUCCGGGCAGGCGGGCCCCCUGCCAUCCUCUGUGUUCUGGUCGCUGCUGAAGAGCGUGCCCUUCCUGGACCGCCUCGAGCUGAUCGGGUCCAACUUCUCGUCUGCCAUGCCGCGCAACGAGCCCGCCAUCCGCAACUCGCUGCCCCCCUGCGGCCGGGCGCAGAGUGUGGGGGACUCGGAGGUGGCCGCCAUCGGCCAGCUGGCCUUCCUGAGGCACCUGACGCUGGCCCAGCUGCCCAGCAUCCUGACAGGCUCCGGGCUGGUCAGCAUCGGCCUCCAGUGCCAGCAGCUCCAGUCCCUCUCCCUGGCCCACCUGGGCACGAUGGGCAAGGUGGCCUACAUGCCCGCCCUCUCGGACAUGCUGAAGCACUGCAGGCGGCUGAAGGACCUCAGGCUGGAGCAGCCCUACUUCAGCGCCAACGCCCAGUUCUUCCAGGCGCUGAGCCAGUGCUCUGCGUUGCAGCGCCUGUGCCUGGUGUCCCGCAGCGGCACCCUGCAGCCCGAGGCCGUGCUGGCCUUCAUGGCGCGCUGCCUGCACGUGGUCGUGUGCCACCUGUUCACCGGCGAGUCGCUCAGCACCUGCCGGAGCCUGCAGCAGUCCCUCCUCCGCAGUUUCCAGGCCGAGCGGCCCGCGCUGAACGUCGUCAUCUUCCCUCUGCUCCACGAGGGCCUGACCGAUGUCAUCCGAGACGUUCCCAUGGUGCACCUGGACGAGGUCACCUUAUUUAAAAGCAGAGUGGCCGAGGAGCCGCCAAAUCUGUGGUGGUGACCGGAGCGGGCCCCCACCUGCCCGUCGCCGCCUGUGGCCGCUGCGCCUCCGUGGCCGAGGAGGCAGGACUGCCCCGGACAGGAUUUGAAAAUUGCUGAGACCUUGUGAGAAGCAGUAAGAGAAGUUCGUGGGUGAGGAUGGUGCAGCGCGGCCGGGGCAGCAGGCCCCCCCCCCACGGCUUCAGCCGCAAACCCGAGGUGAGGGGGACAUGGGCGCUGACCCCUGUGGUUCUUGUGGCCUCAGCCCCAGUCCCCCUCCCCCUCUGACAGGAUAGGGGCGAGGUUGUGCUGAGGGGCUCGGGGGAUGGUCGCCGGUCUUGUCUGCAUCUACUGCACAGGAUUCCACUGGGCGGGAUGAGCAAAUACCCACAGGAAUUCAAACAAACUUCGGUCCGACACAGGCCAACCCACAUCAUCUAAAUUACUUUCUAAAGCUCUUUCAAAAGCCAGUGAAGUGUGAGGUUUUGCAUUGAUGUCACAGGGUCAGGGCACCCACUGCGCCAGACUCCAAGCCGGCCGGCCCCGAGGCCUCCCCGCUGUGCCCACUGCACUGGCGGGGGUACGAGAUGUGAGGGUGCUUUCGCACGUGUGGCCGUGGGCACGUGGCACCCCGCAGCCACUGGCGGCGCUCAGCCCCGGGACCGCUGCCCUCUGACCAUCGCCCAUCUGCCUGCCCCUCUGACUGGACAGUCUCGCUCAGCACGUUACCAGUGGUAAGAGGGGUGAGGUGAGUUGCCAGGGUUUCUCACGGCACGUGCGUGACCAGGUGCUAAACGACCGAAUACACGUCACCUGCCUUUUGAUGACAAACCUCCUGUCCUCUGGUGAGGCCACUCCUGAAUUUCUCGUUCCAGCUACAUUUUGAAUGGGUAUUUUCAUGUAAAUUUGUGGCAUGUGAAAAGUUUCAAAU